CAGGUGUCAUGGAUUUGACUUAAUAGAGAAGCCGGUGUAAGGCCGGAGCGGUCCCGCCACUGUAUGGGGAGCGAAUCUGCAGAGUGAUGUCACUGAAGGAAACUUUGGGAAGGCGCAGAGGAGCGAUGAACCGAGCCAGGAGAACUGCCUGUUUAA
This 156-nucleotide non-coding RNA is filed under the name bovine gut metagenome. The record is from RNAcentral.